Molecule: long non-coding RNA, 755 nt
Filed under: Homo sapiens (human)
Lineage: Eukaryota; Metazoa; Chordata; Mammalia; Primates; Hominidae
Description: non-protein coding lnc-SERPIND1-1:53
Source: RNAcentral
CUCAUUGCCUCCCCGUCCCUGUCUCCCCUGACACUCGUUCCUCCAGAAGCCCGGUAAACCCCGUCCUUACGAGCCCCGCCCCUAGCUCUUCUACUACGGAGGGGAACUGCAGAGCCAGAAGAGCACGGAGCAGCAACUCGCAGCCCAAUUGGUGACGCUGCAGAAUGAACUGGAGCUGGCGGAGACCAAAUGCGCCUUGCAGGAGGAGAAGCUGCAGCAGGACGCGCUGCAGACAGCGGAGGCCUGGGCCAUAUUCCAGGAGCAGACCGUAGUCCUGCAGGAGGUGCAGGUGAAGGUGAUGGAGGCUGCGGAGGAGCUGGACGCCUGGCAGAGUGGCCGGGAACUGUGUGACGGGCAGCUUCGCAGAGUGCAGUACAGCACCGAGUCGCUCAUGGAGGAGAUGGCCAGGGCGGACCGAGAGACGCGGCUGUUCGGCGGUCCUCGCGCGCUGGCCAUCAGGCGCUGCUGACGCUGCCGCUCCUCUUCCUGGGGCUGUCGCUGCUCUGGACGGUGCUGUUGGACCCCGGCGCCGUCUCCGCGUGGCUCUGGAGCCUCACCUCGGAGACGACGCUGCGCCGCCUGCGCUACACGCUGUCCCCGCUGCUGGAGCUGCGCGCUAACGGGCUGCUGCCAACCUAAGUGCAGCGCCCCGCGCCUGGCUCCAGGUGGACUCCAGGGCACCGGCUUUAUUUCUGGUGCACUCCUCUCCUGAGAGUGUAGACCAAGGUCGCCUAAUAAACUCCUCAAGGGAUGAA